AAACCAACAGGGAUUGCCUUAGUAACGGCGAGUGAAGCGGCAAUAGCUCAAAUUUGAAAUCUGGCGCUUGCGUCCGAGUUGUAAUUUGUAGAGGAUGAUUUUGGUUAGGUACCUUUCGAGUUCCUUGGAACAGGACGCCUUAGAGGGUGAGAGCCCCGUACGAUUGGAUGCCGAGCCUCUGUAAAUCUCCUUCGACGAGUCGAGUAGUUUGGGAAUGCUGCUCUAAAUGGGAGGUAAAUUUCUUCUAAAGCUAAAUACCGGCCAGAGACCGAUAGCGCACAAGUAGAGUGAUCGAAAGAUGAAAAGCACUUUGAAAAGAGGGUUAAAUAGCACGUGAAAUUGUUGAAAGGGAAGGAUUUAUGACCAGACUUUUUCUAGGAGGAUCAUCCGGUGUUCUCACCGGUGCACUUCUUCUAGUUUAGGCCAGCAUCGACUUCUGGCGGCGGAUAAAAGCUUUAGGAAUGUGGCUCCCUACGGGGAGUGUUAUAGCCUAUUGUAUAAUACGCUGCUGGGGGUCGAGGUACGCGCUUCUGCAAGGAUGCUGGCGUAAUGGUUAUCAAUCACCCGUCUUGAAACACGGACCAAGGAGUCGAACAUUUAUGCGAGUGUUUGGGUGUUAAACCCUCACGCGUAAUGAAAGUGAACGGAGGUGAGAGCCCUUACGGGUGCAUCAUCGACCGAUCCUGAAGUUUUCGGAUGGAUUUGAGUAAGAGCAUAACUGUUCGGACCCGAAAGAUGGUGAACUAUGCGUGGAUAGGGUGAAGCCAGAGGAAACUCUGGUGGAGGCUCGCAGCGGUUCUGACGUGCAAAUCGAUCGUCAAAUCUGCGCAUGGGGGCGAAA
Molecule: ribosomal RNA, 841 nt
Filed under: Pestalotiopsis besseyi
Lineage: Eukaryota; Fungi; Ascomycota; Sordariomycetes; Amphisphaeriales; Sporocadaceae
Also listed under: 1 other name
Description: LSU rRNA
Rfam family: Eukaryotic large subunit ribosomal RNA
Source: RNAcentral